RNAcentral lists this ribosomal RNA (2889 nucleotides) under Aeromonas hydrophila. RNAcentral describes it as "23S ribosomal RNA". It matches the Rfam family "Bacterial large subunit ribosomal RNA". The record is from RNAcentral. Lineage: Bacteria; Pseudomonadati; Pseudomonadota; Gammaproteobacteria; Aeromonadales; Aeromonadaceae.
GGUUAAGUGACUAAGCGUACAUGGUGGAUGCCUUGGCAGUCAGAGGCGAUGAAGGACGUACUAACCUGCGAUAAGCCGUGAGCAGUCGGUAAGAGACAUUACGACUCACGGAUUUCCGAAUGGGGAAACCCACUUAGCAUAAGCUAGGUAUCGCUGCGUGAAUACAUAGCGUAGCGAGGCGAACCGGGAGAACUGAAACAUCUAAGUACCCCGAGGAAAAGAAAUCAACCGAGAUUCCCUCAGUAGCGGCGAGCGAACGGGGAUUAGCCCUUAAGCAUCUUGGAAGUUAGUGGAACGGUCCUGGAAAGGCCGGCGAUACAGGGUGAUAGCCCCGUACACGAAAACAACCUUGAUGUGAAAUCGAGUAGGGCGGGACACGUGACAUCCUGUCUGAAUAUGGGGGGACCAUCCUCCAAGGCUAAAUACUCCUGACUGACCGAUAGUGAACCAGUACCGUGAGGGAAAGGCGAAAAGAACCCCUGUGAGGGGAGUGAAAUAGAACCUGAAACCGUGUACGUACAAGCAGUGGGAGCCCUUCGGGGUGACUGCGUACCUUUUGUAUAAUGGGUCAGCGACUUACAUUUUGUAGCGAGGUUAACCGUAUAGGGGAGCCGUAGGGAAACCGAGUCUUAACUGGGCGUCUAGUUGCAAGGUGUAGACCCGAAACCGGGUGAUCUAGCCAUGGGCAGGUUGAAGGUUGAGUAACAUCAACUGGAGGACCGAACCCACUAACGUUGCAAAGUUAGGGGAUGACCUGUGGCUGGGGGUGAAAGGCCAAUCAAACUCGGAGAUAGCUGGUUCUCCCCGAAAGCUAUUUAGGUAGCGCCUCGGACGAAUACUACUGGGGGUAGAGCACUGUUUGGGCUAGGGGGUCAUCCCGACUUACCAACCCCAUGCAAACUCCGAAUACCAGUAAGUAAUAUCCGGGAGACACACGGCGGGUGCUAACGUCCGUCGUGAAGAGGGAAACAACCCAGACCGCCGGCUAAGGUCCCAAAGUUCUGGUUAAGUGGGAAACGAUGUGGGAAGGCUCAGACAGCUAGGAUGUUGGCUUAGAAGCAGCCAUCAUUUAAAGAAAGCGUAAUAGCUCACUAGUCGAGUCGGCCUGCGCGGAAGAUGUAACGGGGCUCAAACCAGGCACCGAAGCCGCGGAUUCACGCUAAGCGUGAGUGGUAGGGGAGCGUUCUGUAAGUCUGCGAAGGUGUGUCGAGAGGUAUGCUGGAGAUAUCAGAAGUGCGAAUGCUGACGUAAGUAACGAUAAAGGGGGUGAAAAGCCUCCUCGCCGGAAGACCAAGGGUUCCUGUCCAACGUUAAUCGGGGCAGGGUGAGUCGACCCCUAAGGCGAGGCCGAAAGGCGUAGUCGAUGGGAAGCAGGUUAAUAUUCCUGCACGACUUGUAAUUGCGAUGGGGGGACGGAGAAGGCUAGGUGGGCCAGGCGACGGUUGUCCUGGUGAAAGUGCGUAGGUGGUGUUUCUAGGCAAAUCCGGAGACACAACACUGAGACACGAGACGAACACACUACGGUGUGGAAGCCAUUGAUGCCCUGCUUCCAGGAAAAGCCUCUAAGCUUCAGAUUACAAGUCAUCGUACCCCAAACCGACACAGGUGGUCGGGUAGAGAAUACCAAGGCGCUUGAGAGAACUCGGGUGAAGGAACUAGGCAAAAUAGAACCGUAACUUCGGGAGAAGGUUCGCUCUUGACAGUGAAGUCCCUUGCGGAUGGAGCAGUUGGGAGUCGCAGUGACCAGAUGGCUGGGACUGUUUAUCAAAAACACAGCACUCUGCAAACACGAAAGUGGACGUAUAGGGUGUGACACCUGCCCGGUGCCGGAAGGUUAAUUGAUGGGGUUAGCGCAAGCGAAGCUCUUGAUCGAAGCCCCGGUAAACGGCGGCCGUAACUAUAACGGUCCUAAGGUAGCGAAAUUCCUUGUCGGGUAAGUUCCGACCUGCACGAAUGGUGUAACCAUGGCCAUGCUGUCUCCACCCGAGACUCAGUGAAAUCGAAUUCGCCGUGAAGAUGCGGUGUACCCGCGGCUAGACGGAAAGACCCCGUGAACCUUUACUACAGCUUGGCACUGAACAUUGAACCUACAUGUGUAGGAUAGGUGGGAGGCUUUGAAGGCGUGACGCCAGUUGCGCUGGAGCCGUCCUUGAAAUACCACCCUUGUAUGUUUGAUGUUCUAACGCAGGCCCCUGAAUCGGGGUCGCGGACAGUGCCUGGUGGGUAGUUUGACUGGGGCGGUCUCCUCCCAAAGAGUAACGGAGGAGCACGAAGGUUGGCUAAUCCUGGUCGGACAUCAGGAGGUUAGUGCAAUGGCAUAAGCCAGCUUAACUGCGAGACGGACAGGUCGAGCAGGUACGAAAGUAGGUCAUAGUGAUCCGGUGGUUCUGAAUGGAAGGGCCAUCGCUCAACGGAUAAAAGGUACUCCGGGGAUAACAGGCUGAUACCGCCCAAGAGUUCAUAUCGACGGCGGUGUUUGGCACCUCGAUGUCGGCUCAUCACAUCCUGGGGCUGAAGUCGGUCCCAAGGGUAUGGCUGUUCGCCAUUUAAAGUGGUACGCGAGCUGGGUUCAGAACGUCGUGAGACAGUUCGGUCCCUAUCUGCCGUGGGCGUUGGAUGAUUGAAGGGAGUUGCUCCUAGUACGAGAGGACCGGAGUGAACGAACCUCUGGUGUUCGGGUUGUCACGCCAGUGGCACUGCCCGGUAGCUAAGUUCGGAAUCGAUAACCGCUGAAAGCAUCUAAGCGGGAAGCGAGCCCUGAGAUGAGUCAUCCCUGACCCCUUGAGGGUCCUAAAGGGCCGUUGGAGACCACAACGUUGAUAGGUGGGGUGUGUAAGCGCGGCGACGUGUUGAGCUAACCCAUACUAAUUACCCGUGAGGCUUAACCAU